GGGCCUGUAGCUUAGCCUGGAAGAGCACAAGACUCUUAAUGGUUUUAUCGAAGAAGCCAACAGCAAUCUUGGGGUCGAGGGUUCAAAUCCCUCCGGGCUCA
RNAcentral lists this transfer RNA (101 nucleotides) under Bacteroidetes bacterium RIFCSPHIGHO2_02_FULL_44_7. RNAcentral describes it as "tRNA-Lys". It matches the Rfam family "tRNA". Rfam says of the family: Transfer RNA (tRNA) molecules are approximately 80 nucleotides in length. Their secondary structure includes four short double-helical elements and three loops (D, anti-codon, and T loops). Lineage: Bacteria; Pseudomonadati; Bacteroidota. The record is from RNAcentral.